CGCCCGGGAAAUACGAGCGCAAGCUUAAAACCCAAAGGAUUUGACGGUGUCCCACCCACCUAGAGGAGCCUGUUCUAUAAUCGACAAUCCACGAUUUACCUCACCAUUUUUUGCUCUCUCAGCCUGUAUACCUCCGUCGACAACUUAUCAUUUNAAUGUCAAAAAAUAAGUUUAGUGGUCUCACACACCAACACGUGGNGUCAAGGUGCAGCCUAUAAAAUGGAAAGCAAUGGGCUACAAUUUCUAAUAUAGAACAAACGAAAAACUACAUGAAACACAGUCAUGAAGGCGGAUUUAGAAGUAAAAGAAGAACAGAAAACUUCUUUUAACCUGGCUCUGGGACGUGUACAAACCGCCCGUCACCCUCUUCAACAGCCACCACCAAUUUACUAAUGCUUAACAGCACUAUAGAAGAGGCAAGUCGUAACAUGGUAAGUGUACUGGAAAGUGCACUUGGCUAA
This 461-nucleotide ribosomal RNA is filed under the name Gephyromantis redimitus. Its description in RNAcentral is "partial 12S ribosomal RNA". It matches the Rfam family "Bacterial small subunit ribosomal RNA", at positions 870 to 1533 of the family's 1533-position model. The record is from RNAcentral. Lineage: Eukaryota; Metazoa; Chordata; Amphibia; Anura; Mantellidae.